This 880-nucleotide ribosomal RNA is filed under the name Enterococcus faecium. RNAcentral's name for it is "bacterial SSU rRNA". It matches the Rfam family "Bacterial small subunit ribosomal RNA", at positions 56 to 910 of the family's 1533-position model. Lineage: Bacteria; Bacillati; Bacillota; Bacilli; Lactobacillales; Enterococcaceae. The record is from RNAcentral.
UGCAGUCGAACGCUUCUUUUUCCACCGGAGCUUGCUCCACCGGAAAAAGAGGAGUGGCGAACGGGUGAGUAACACGUGGGUAACCUGCCCAUCAGAAGGGGAUAACACUUGGAAACAGGUGCUAAUACCGUAUAACAAUCGAAACCGCAUGGUUUUGAUUUGAAAGGCGCUUUCGGGUGUCGCUGAUGGAUGGACCCGCGGUGCAUUAGCUAGUUGGUGAGGUAACGGCUCACCAAGGCCACGAUGCAUAGCCGACCUGAGAGGGUGAUCGGCCACAUUGGGACUGAGACACGGCCCAAACUCCUACGGGAGGCAGCAGUAGGGAAUCUUCGGCAAUGGACGAAAGUCUGACCGAGCAACGCCGCGUGAGUGAAGAAGGUUUUCGGAUCGUAAAACUCUGUUGUUAGAGAAGAACAAGGAUGAGAGUAACUGUUCAUCCCUUGACGGUAUCUAACCAGAAAGCCACGGCUAACUACGUGCCAGCAGCCGCGGUAAUACGUAGGUGGCAAGCGUUGUCCGGAUUUAUUGGGCGUAAAGCGAGCGCAGGCGGUUUCUUAAGUCUGAUGUGAAAGCCCCCGGCUCAACCGGGGAGGGUCAUUGGAAACUGGGAGACUUGAGUGCAGAAGAGGAGAGUGGAAUUCCAUGUGUAGCGGUGAAAUGCGUAGAUAUAUGGAGGAACACCAGUGGCGAAGGCGGCUCUCUGGUCUGUAACUGACGCUGAGGCUCGAAAGCGUGGGGAGCAAACAGGAUUAGAUACCCUGGUAGUCCACGCCGUAAACGAUGAGUGCUAAGUGUUGGAGGGUUUCCGCCCUUCAUUGCUGCAGCUAACGCAUUAAGCACUCCGCCGGGAGAGUACGACCGCAGGUUGAACUAGGAAAAU